GGCGAACGCUGGCGGCGUGCUUAACACAUGCAAGUCGAACGGAAAGGCCCUGCUUUUGUGGGGUGCUCGAGUGGCGAACGGGUGAGUAACACGUGAGUAACCUGCCCUUGACUUUGGGAUAACUUCAGGAAACUGGGGCUAAUACCGGAUAGGAGCUCCUGCUGCAUGGUGGGGGUUGGAAAGUUUCGGCGGUUGGGGAUGGACUCGCGGCUUAUCAGCUUGUUGGUGGGGUAGUGGCUUACCAAGGCUUUGACGGGUAGCUGGCCUGAGAGGGUGACCGGCCACAUUGGGACUGAGAUACGGCCCAGACUCCUACGGGAGGCAGCAGUGGGGAAUAUUGCACAAUGGGCGGAAGCCUGAUGCAGCAACGCCGCGUGCGGGAUGACGGCCUUCGGGUUGUAAACCGCUUUCGCCUGUGACGAAGCGUGAGUGACGGUAAUGGGUAAAGAAGCACCGGCUAACUACGUG
RNAcentral lists this ribosomal RNA (468 nucleotides) under uncultured bacterium. RNAcentral's name for it is "partial 16S ribosomal RNA". It matches the Rfam family "Bacterial small subunit ribosomal RNA", at positions 28 to 507 of the family's 1533-position model. The record is from RNAcentral.